Xenia sp. Carnegie-2017 is the source of this 1281-nucleotide RNA transcript. It is a transcript of the gene named tRNA methyltransferase 10 homolog A-like, with no coding region annotated. The record is from RefSeq and is a predicted model, not a curated record. The transcript has 11 exons. NCBI's taxonomy places the organism in Eukaryota, Metazoa, Cnidaria, Anthozoa, Malacalcyonacea, Xeniidae.
AUAAUUUAAUGGUCCAGCUAGUAGGCCGGGCUUCUGUCUAUCCCAUUGAGUUCUAUAAUAGAACUCAAUGGUCUAUCCACGACAUUGUUAACAUGGCGGUCAAUUUGAAAUUUGCAAUACAUUACUUCUGCAAAUCUUCUCUCACUUUAGUAAAAGUAUAAACCGACGAUGACCGAUUCAACCACAAACAACGAUAUUGAGACGUCUUCUACUUCAAAGAUUGGAGCAGAAUGUUCAAGUAAUCUUGAAAAAACUCAAUUAAGUAAUACUUGUUCGUCUAAUGAUGUAUCUCAAAUUUCUAACAACGAUGAAAAAUCUUUGGCAAAUAAUCAACUGGGAAAGAUGUAUUCCGAUGGAAAAUUGUCGAAAAGAAAGUUGAAACGGUUGAAGAAUCAUCAGAAAUGGGUUGAAAGAAAACAGGAAAAAAAGUUGCUCAAGAAAGAAAAAAUAAGAAAAGCAAAAGCAGAAGGCUUACCUGUACCUAAGUCAAGAUCUUCAAGGAGAUGUGAAGUGAAAAAAAUGGAUUGUGAGGAAGCCUUACCAGUGAAAAUUGCCAUUGAUAUGUCAUAUGAAUCAUUCAUGGACGAACGUUCCAUGAAAAAGCUGUUGAAACAAGUGAAAACGUGUUAUGCUGUAAAUAGAAAGUCUUCGAGGCCAAUACAGUUUUAUUUGACGGGAUUUGAAGGAAAUAUUCAAUUGUUGACGGAAGGAACAUAUCAGGAAUACAAGAGUUGGGAUAUUCACAUCAAAAAAGAAUCAUACAUAGAUGUAUUUCACAAGGAAAAUAUAGUUUAUCUCACGUCAGACUCAGAAAAUAUACUAGAAGAUAUUGACCUAUCCAAAGCGUACAUAAUUGGAGGUCUUGUUGAUCAUAACCACCAUAAGGGGCUUUGUCACAAACUUGCUGUUGAAAAUAAAGUAGCGCAUGCGCAAUUGCCAAUUAAAAACUUCGUGAAGAUACAAUCAAGAACCGUACUGACGGUAAAUCAUGUUUUUGAAAUAAUCCUGAAAUAUUUGGAGUUGAAAGACUGGCAGAAAGCUUUUUAUGACGUCAUACCAAAACGAAAAGGGGUAUCUCUGGUGGAUACUAAUGGAUAAACAUGAAUAAAAGCUGACGAUAACAAUGAUUGUUUUGUGUGAUGAUGUUAAAGGACAUGAAAAAUAAACUGAUCAAGACCAGGGCAGAUUGUCUGAAAGCGAUCCAAUCCACUAUCUUCAGAAAUUUUUGAAAGCAACAGCGAAGCAUUGUAAAGUGAAGAAAAUUUCAACAAUGAUCGGAAA